Molecule: ribosomal RNA, 279 nt
Filed under: uncultured bacterium
Lineage: Bacteria
Description: partial 16S ribosomal RNA
Rfam family: Bacterial small subunit ribosomal RNA
Source: RNAcentral
UGCCAGCAUCCGCGGUACUCCUGGUUGUGCAAGCGUUACUCGGAAUCACUGGGCGUAAAGAGCAUGUAGGCUGGUUUGUAAGUUGGAAGUGAAAUCCUAUGGCUUAACCAUAGAACUGCUUCCAAAACUGCAGACCUAGAGUAUGGGAGAGGUAGAUGGAAUUUCUGGUGUAGGGGUAAAAUCCGUAGAGAUCAGAAGGAAUACCGAUUGCGAAGGCGAUCUACUGGAACAUAACUGACGCUGAGAUGCGAAAGCGUGGGGAGCAAACAGGAUUAGAUA